CAGGAAUUGCCAUAAUGGUAUUUGAUGCACCCAUGUCUAGAAGAUGUACUUUGGGCCCCUCAUUACUAGAAAGAUUCACAGAUGCCUCUAUGUUGACUCAGCUGGUUAAAUACACAUUUUCAAACAAAAUAUUUGAAGCAACUGAUGCCAAAUUCCUCCUGACAUUCACAAUAAUAUUGAACUUGACUCAAUCAGACUAGU
RNAcentral lists this long non-coding RNA (201 nucleotides) under Lynx pardinus (Iberian lynx). The record is from RNAcentral. Lineage: Eukaryota; Metazoa; Chordata; Mammalia; Carnivora; Felidae.